GUGUCAGCCGCCGCGGUAAUACGUAGGGGCCAAGCGUUGUCCGGAAUUAUUGGGCGUAAAGAGCUCGUAGGCGGUUCGGUAAGUCGGGUGUGAAAUCUCCACGCUCAACGUGGAGGGGCCACUCGAUACUGCCGUGACUAGAGUCCAGUAGGGGAGUGUGGAAUUCCCGGUGUAGCGGUGAAAUGCGCAGAGAUCGGGAGGAACACCAGCGGCGAAGGCGGCACUCUGGGCUGGUACUGACGCUGAGGAGCGAAAGCGUGGGGAGCGAACAGGAUUAGAAACCCCCGUAGUCC
RNAcentral lists this ribosomal RNA (293 nucleotides) under uncultured bacterium. Its description in RNAcentral is "partial 16S ribosomal RNA". It matches the Rfam family "Bacterial small subunit ribosomal RNA", at positions 505 to 796 of the family's 1533-position model. The record is from RNAcentral.